AACAAUUGUUUAUAUCAUAGAAUUUUGAAACAUAAAUAAAUAUAAAUCUGACAUAUAGUUUCUAUCCAUAUUAAUUUUCAUAAUUUCGUUAUUUUCAAGAUUAUUCUUUUUAAAACGAUAUAAUUAGAAGAAUUAUAAUAAUGCAGAAAUAUUUAAAUUCAUAAUAAUAUUUGUAUUUAAAUAUAUUGAUACAAACAUUCGUAAUAAUAAUAAUAAUAAUCUAUUUUAAAUAUAUUUCGUUCCAUAAUAAGAUUAAUUCUUUAUAUUAUUAAUUAAGAAUAAUAUUACUUAAUUAUAUUAGGUAGAAAUUGACAAUGUGUAAAUAUUGGACAAUGUAGAAUUUAUAAUGGUCUAAUCUCGUAGUUUGUGUUGUAAAAACAAAUACUAUGAUGCAAUGAGUAAAGAAUCUGAAUCUAUUUUGUGUUUUCUUGUGGUGAAGUGGUGAAAGAAGUUUUGACUCUAGUGUUGUUAAAUGUCGUGUAAGUUUUUACUAAAAUCAUAAAAUUAAAAAUUAAAUAUCUCUCUCUCUCUCUCUAUAUAUAUAUAUAUAUAUUAUUGGAAUAAGACAAAUAUUAACGUCAAUGACUUUUAUAAUUUUUUAAUAAUAAAUACAUCAAUAUUUUUUUUCUUUUUAUUAUUAAGAAAAAAAAUCAUCCGAUAUGCCUCCAAUGUCACAGCACAUUGUGAAUGUGCACAAGCAACUUUAACAUGUUAUGGAGAAGCACGAGCGUUAACUUUAAGGCUAUUCUGUUCUAUCAUCUUAUAAACGUAAGAAAUAAAGAAAGAAAAGAAGCAAGAAAUUUAGUUACUAGAUAUAGGAACUUUUGGUUCUUCGGUACAAUACGUAUCUAAAAUAUAAUGGCAGUA
Molecule: long non-coding RNA, 867 nt
Organism: Apis dorsata (giant honeybee)
Lineage: Eukaryota; Metazoa; Arthropoda; Insecta; Hymenoptera; Apidae
Exons: 2
Source: RefSeq, a predicted model, not a curated record